RNAcentral lists this ribosomal RNA (253 nucleotides) under uncultured bacterium. RNAcentral's name for it is "partial 16S ribosomal RNA". It matches the Rfam family "Bacterial small subunit ribosomal RNA", at positions 524 to 776 of the family's 1533-position model. The record is from RNAcentral.
UACGUAGGGCGCAAGCGUUAUCCGGAAUUAUUGGGCGUAAAGAGCUCGUAGGCGGUCUGUCGCGUCGGCUGUGAAAACUCGGGGCUCAACCCCGAGCCUGCAGUCGAUACGGGCAGACUAGAGUGCUGUAGGGGAGACUGGAAUUCCUGGUGUAGAGGUGAAAUGCGCAGAUAUCAGGAGGAACACCGGUGGCGAAGGCGGGUCUCUGGGCAGUAACUGACGCUGAGGAGCGAAAGCGUGGGGAGCGAACAGG